This 468-nucleotide ribosomal RNA is filed under the name uncultured Cephalothrix sp. RNAcentral describes it as "bacterial SSU rRNA". It matches the Rfam family "Bacterial small subunit ribosomal RNA", at positions 28 to 539 of the family's 1533-position model. The record is from RNAcentral. Lineage: Bacteria; Bacillati; Cyanobacteriota; Cyanophyceae; Aerosakkonematales; Aerosakkonemataceae.
GAUGAAUGCUGGCGGUCUGCUUAACACAUGCAAGUCGAACGGGCGCAGCAAUGCGUUAGAGGCGGACGGGUGAGUAACACGUGAGAAUCUGCCAACGGGACGGGGAUAACAGGGGGAAACCGCUGCUAACACCCGAUAAACCGAAAGGGGAAAAAUUAAUUGCCAGUUGAUGAGCUCGCGUCGGAUUAGCUAGUUGGUAGUGUAAGGGACUACCAAGGCGACGAUCCAUAGCCGGUCUGAGAGGACGAUCGGCCACACUGGGACUGAGACACGACCCAGACUCCUACGGGAGGCAGCAGUGGGGAAUUUUCGGCAAUGGGCGAAAGCCUGACGGAGCAAGACAACGUGAGGGAGGAAGGCUCUUGGGUUGUAAACCUCUUUUCUCAAGGAACAAGCAAUGACGGUACUUAAGGAAUCAGCAUCGGCUAACUCCGUGCCAGCAGCCGCGUUAAUACGGAGGAUGCUAGC